AGGACUAAGAAAAGUGGAUCGCCGCACCUGUCUUGUGCCACUUCGAGAUUCAGCUUCUAACUUCUGUUGCAAAGCUUCAGUUGCAAUCUCAUCCAAGAGGUCCUCUGCAUCAUAGGCAGCAUCUUUAAGUUCGUCGAGCCACUGCUUCACAGCAGGAUAUGUGAUUUGCUUCGCCUCUGCAUCGUUGAGCACUGCAUCAACACUCAACAGAGUGAUCUUCAGCUUUUGUAGCUGUAUAUCAUUGACUUUCCUUCCCCGGAAAUAGUCAACGAUUUCUUGAGAAGCCAAUCGAUCAAACAAAACUUGAAGGAAAGCUGAGAGAAAAGCACCACCCACCAAGGCACCAGCCAUGUUUU
This 356-nucleotide unclassified non-coding RNA is filed under the name Hevea brasiliensis (rubber tree). Lineage: Eukaryota; Viridiplantae; Streptophyta; Magnoliopsida; Malpighiales; Euphorbiaceae. The record is from RNAcentral.